UAAUACAGAGGGUGCGAGCGUUGUUCGGAAUUAUUGGGCGUAAAGGGCGCGUAGGCGGCGCGGUAUGUCACCUGUGAAAUCUCCUGGCUCAACUGGGAGCUUGCAGGCGAAACUGCCGUGCUGGAGUGUGGGAGAGGUGCGUGGAAUUCCUGGUGUAGCGGUGAAAUGCGUAGAUAUCAGGAGGAACACCUGUGGCGAAAGCGGCGCACUGGACCACAACUGACGCUGAGGCGCGAAAGCUAGGGGAGCAAACAGGAUUAGAUACCCUGGUAGUCCUAGCCCUAAACGAUGGAUGCUUGGUGUGAUCGGUACCCAAUCCGAUCGUGCCGCAGCUAACGCGAUAAGCAUCCCGCCUGGGGAGUACGGUCGCAAGGCUG
RNAcentral lists this ribosomal RNA (377 nucleotides) under uncultured bacterium. RNAcentral describes it as "bacterial SSU rRNA". It matches the Rfam family "Bacterial small subunit ribosomal RNA", at positions 521 to 896 of the family's 1533-position model. The record is from RNAcentral.